GGGAAAUGGUGAAACUGAUAGAGAAAAGCAGAAUGGCGACCAUAAUUCUGUUAGAGAAGCUACUAGACCUUCAGAAAUCAAUGUGAGCAACUUCCAGCAAGCAGAUGUCUUAGGUGGGAAUGCUAUCAGAAAUGAGCCUCCAGUUGGAGAUGCUACAGCUCAAAUGAAGAGUCCAUUCCCCUCUUGUGCUUCACCAGCCCAUGAGGUUAUACCUUCUUUCUGUGGAAUAAAUUGUUUAAUUGUGCUAUACCCAUCUUAAAGAAGAAUUUGUUCUAGUUCCAGACUUCCAGCUUGGUUGCACAAGAAUACGGAAUCUCCUUUCUCAUUGGUUUGUACAGAUCAUUAUUCUUAUUGCACCUUGCAUCAUUUACUAUAUCAUGGAAUUAGUUUUAACAUUUGACGUGCAACCAUGGGUGAUUUCAGCUAAUAAACAACAAUUUUAGGGCUUGCCACUUCCAUUCAAAAAAUUCAGAUGAGAUGGACCCCCAAGAGAUUCAAUCUUCAUCCUCUUGAAAUUACAUGAGGAAUUUGUGAUGACCAUUAGACUGUAUUGCAAUAAUUCUAUAUACAAAGCAUAUAAGUUAGCAACAUAUCUGGAUUACUUCAAGUUUGGUUAAUGAUAUAGGCAUUUAUGACCAAGCUCUGAUGUAUUCUCUUCUUGGCAAUUUGAGACAUGCAGCAGUCCUCUUCAAUCACAUACUUAAGUUUGCUUCUAGCCUACAAUAACUACACCUCAGUCCCAAACAAGUUGAAUUCGGCUAUGUGAAUCCUCACAUGUCCAUUCAAGCUCAACUCAUGUCAUCAUCAUACCAAAUAAAAAUAGAAGUGAAAAAUAAGUUCAAUACAAACAAAUAAUAGCAACAGUGAUAAUAUUAAAAGUUCUCUAGCAAGACUAAACCUAUAUCAACUAGUAGACAAUCACCUAUAUGGAUUUUUUCUUUGCCCUAUCAUUAUCUAUAUCUUUAUUGAUUCCAAGAAUUUGUAGGUCUUUCGAGACAGCCUCCUUCAAUGUGAUUUUAGAUCUGCACUGUCCCUUUUUAACACCUUCAUACGCCAUAGUUUCACACUACCGGCCUGUGCAUCUGUAGGUCGAUGCAUACCUACAAGAUAUGACCAAACCAUCUCAAGUGACACUCUCUCAUUUUAUCCUCAAUGUGCUACUUGCAUCCUUUGGCAUAGUCAUUUUUAAUCUUAUUUUAUCUUGUAUGACCAGUUGACUGCACAUCCAUCUUUUUUUUUUGAGAAAGGUAACAUUCGUAUGUAUUGACAAAAACCAGACAUGGGUUGUACUGAAAACCAUAAUUACAACUUAUCAACAAAACAGGAUAUCUGAAUCUAAAUUCUAAAUAGGGCCAAGGAUCUCAAUAAUUGACUCAGUAUCCUCUAAGUACAUCUGUUUACACCAGAAACAAAAAAGUUUGAUACAGUUCAAUUUGAUCUUCUGAAGAUCACUACUUUUGCUCUCAAAACAUCUAGCAUUUCUCUCUCUCCAGACUGUCCACCAGAUACAGGCUGGGACAAUCUUCCAUCUAUCUCUGUCUGAAGCUCCCCCACCUGCCUCUUCCCAACUGUAGAGAAGGUGCGUGAUUCUGUUAGGCAUAGUCCAAACAACACCCCUGAGGCUGAUAAAAAUCCUCCAAAGUUGAGUUGUUAUCCUGCACUGUAAAAAUAGAUUGUCAACUGUCUCAACCUCUUCUCCACACAAAUAGCAUCUCGAGCACAUAGAGAACUUCCUCUUCUUGAGAUUUUCUUGUGUCAGGACUGCUUCUCUUGCCAGUAACCAAGUAAAACAUGCCACCUUGAAAGGGGUUUUUGUUUUCCAGAUCUGUUUCCAUGGCCAAUUUGGUGGUUGUUGGCCACCUUUGUUCAAAAACUUGUAUGCUGAGUUCACCUUAUACAUGCCUUUGCUGUCUUUGUUCCACCAUAAUCUAUCAACCUCAUCCUUUGUCCUUUGAACUCUGCCAGAGCUCUGAAAAAUUCUGUCACAGUUUCAAUUUCCCAGUCAUUAAAAUUCCUUCUAAAAUGGAUGUUCCAUCCUUGUUGUGUCCAACUGUCAGCUACACUCAUUUGUUGAUGUACUGCCAAAACAUACAGUUCAGGGAAAAGAUUUUUUAAACUAGCAUGUCCCAGCCAUUUGUCCUCCCAGAAUGAGGUCUUACUUCCAUUGCCUACCCUCACAGUUGUGUUAUUUCUCAAAAAAGGCCAAAGGAUUCUGAUAGACCUCCAUAGACUUGCACCAUAGGGUGUAGAUACCUCAUUUGUCAUCCAUUUGUUCUCAUCUCCAUAUUUAGCUUUAAUUACUUUGCUCUAAUGUGCUUGAGGCUCUUGUGAGGAUUUCCAUUCUGUUAUUGAUGGAAAACGCCUUCGUGGAUUACUAUUUUCCACCAAACCAAGACCUGAACAGACUCCCUGUAAUGAUUCUAUCAGGUGCAUGAUGAUCUGAUUUUCUAAUUUUGAUAGAUAAGUGUAGCAGAAUUUCAGUAUUUAUCAAAAUUUUGGUUCACAAUAGCCUUUUGGAUUAUGUUAAUGUAAAUUCAAAAUCAGGAAUACGGGAAAUGGUGAAACUGAUAGAGAAAAGCAGAAUGGCGACCAUAAUUCUGUUAGAGAAGCUACUAGACCUUCAGAAAUCAAUGUGAGCAACUUCCAGCAAGCAGAUGUCUUAGGUGGGAAUGCUAUCAGAAAUGAGCCUCCAGUUGGAGAUGCUACAGCUCAAAUGAAGAGUCCAUUCCCCUCUUGUGCUUCACCAGCCC
This 2750-nucleotide long non-coding RNA is filed under the name Solanum tuberosum (potato). RNAcentral describes it as "long non-coding RNA (STUB_LNC004147)". Lineage: Eukaryota; Viridiplantae; Streptophyta; Magnoliopsida; Solanales; Solanaceae. The record is from RNAcentral.